GAACACACAAAUUUAAUUCUCUCUCUUUUCUGUAUUUUCAUUUAUUUUACUGACAUCAAGUACAGAGAAUUGGAUUUGGGGUUAGUCAUAAUUCUGGUUCCUGCCAUAGUCAUCACUGUUGCAUUUAACAUGAGGUCUGCUUUUAGUGAGUUAGUUCUUGAAUUAAUAAGUUUUUAAUAAUGUAAUAAGCCUGAUGGACCUACCACCUCAAACAAAAAAGCAAAGCCCUUGACAAUAACCUCCAUGCAGCCCUGCGGCCCAUCCCACCCUGUCUCCUUGCCUCCCCACACCCAGAAUAACCAGGCUCCUGCAGUUCUGGACCGGAUUGGAGGCACUGCUGUCACAGUCUUCUAAACCAUUUUGUGAGCCCAGCGCUUGAGGAGAACUUAAUUGUCUGAAUCUCAAGAGCUUCUGCAAACCCCUGAUGCCUGUGAAGUGCUGUUAUCUAAAAGAAACCC
Molecule: long non-coding RNA, 458 nt
Filed under: Equus caballus (horse)
Lineage: Eukaryota; Metazoa; Chordata; Mammalia; Perissodactyla; Equidae
Description: lncRNA (ENSECAG00000056248.1)
Source: RNAcentral